CUCCUUUCGAUCGGGACGAUANUGACGGUACCGGAAGAAGAAGCCCCGGCUAACUUCGUGCCAGCAGCCGCGGUAAUACGAGGGGGGCGAGCGUUGUUCGGAAUUAUUGGGCGUAAAGGGUGCGUAAGCGGUUUGGUAAGUUUCGUGUGAAAUCUCAUGGCUCAACUCUGAGUCUGCACGAAAAACUGCCGGGCUUGAGUAUGGGAGAGGUGAGUGGAAUUCCUGGUGUAGCGGUGAAAUGCAAU
This 245-nucleotide ribosomal RNA is filed under the name uncultured Acidobacteriota bacterium. Its description in RNAcentral is "uncultured Acidobacteria bacterium partial 16S ribosomal RNA". It matches the Rfam family "Bacterial small subunit ribosomal RNA", at positions 430 to 692 of the family's 1533-position model. Lineage: Bacteria; Pseudomonadati; Acidobacteriota. The record is from RNAcentral.